UCAGAGUUUAAAUAAUGAACAUAGCAAUACCACCAAAGAAACAUUCAUUAAAUAUCAAUAUAAAAUAAAGUGGAAGAAAAAGAGAAAAACAGCAAGCUGCUGAUUGCAGUGUUUGCAACCGAGACUCUGUUCUGCAAACCCUGGGGGAUCAGCGUGGAUUGAGCUAUUACUAGAGGUUGGGGUUAAACACGGUAGGCUAUAGACUUUCUGGGGGAGAAACCAGUCAAUUUCUAUUCUGAAAACCUGGCACUGCCUAAGAAAAUCCAAACCCUUCAAACAGAAGCUUCGCAAGAGUGUAGUUAAUGGCAUAAAAGAGUGCUCAGAAACUCACCCACAGAGACUUUCUGAUAGCUGAUGCCAGGAACAGCAAAAAGCAGAAUGUCCAGUUAGGGAUAGUUAACCAAGCCCCUCUCAAUUCUUCUUCUUGAGGCUAUCCUCUCCUCACUGGUCCCCAUUUUAUAAUCAUGCUCAAGGAGCCUAGGCUUCUCUUCUUCUCUUACAGCAUGUUUAAUAUCACUACUUUAUCCAUUCUGUACUGUUGCAGGCUGAAGGUGACAUUACACUUAGAGGGAUCCACAGAUUCAAGAGGCUGCUUGGGGAGGGCAGCACAGUGAAGUACAAGGACUUUGACAUCAGAGAGGCCUGGAUUCAAGUCCCAAUUUCUGUGUGUGGUAACCAGUCUGCAAGACAGCCUGUGAUGGUUCCUGCCUCCUCGUAUUCAUGUCCUUCUUAGUUCCCUUGCGCAUUGAAUCAGGGCUGGCUCUGGGUGACCAAUAGAAUGUGGAGGAAGUGAUGGGGUGUGAAUUCCGAGGCUAGGUCACAAAAGGCAUUGUAUCUUCCACCUCUUAGAUCUCUCUCUCUGCGGAAGCCAGCCACCGCUCUCCAAGGACUCUCGAGCAGCUCCAUCUACAGAUUCACAUGGAGAAGAAUUAAGGGUUCCUGCCAAUCACCAGCACCACUUUGCCAGCCUUGUAAGUGGGCCACCUUGGAAUUGGAGCCUCCAGUUCCUACUGACAUCUGACUGCAACAUCAUGAGAGACCCUGAGUUUGAACCACCCAGCUGAGCUGCUUCUGAGCUAACCCACUGAAACCGUGAAAGUACCUGAAUGAAACAACACCCAGUAGCCACUAGCACACCUAGCUCCCAGAUCUGUUUUUGAUGCCAUUCUUCAGUAAAAGGAAGCAAGGCUGCUUGGAGAAAUUGCUAUCAAGGACUGGGGUAGAAAAUAUACAAGAUGAAAUUGGAGCAUCUUGUAGUGCUUGAAAACAGUUGGCAUCUGUGUGAAGAUGUGAAUGGAGGAGGCAGAGUAGGCAGUGAGUGCCGCAGCCACAGCUUGUGUUCUCUGCAGCCCUGGCACAGAAGAUAGGAACACUCAUGGGGGAUGCGGCCACUGUGAUGUCUUCCCACACAAGAAGUGCCAAGUGCUUUUCUCAUGCUUUUCUGGAUUGUCCCAUGGUGGACGAGUCAGCAGGAGUGAGAUGGAGCAGCACAGUAGAGGGGUACCUGGCAAGGCCCGGAGGGAGGACCCCCUGCCCCAAACAUUUCAAUGAUAUCAGGUUCCUUAGAUCCUGGGAUGAGGAGGUGGACCAGCAGAAGGUGGGCUUGUGAAGGCAGCCCGGGGUCCAAAUCCUCCUGGCUCUUCAGCUUAGCGGGUUAGUUAACAUUCAGAAGCCUUCAUCUCCCAUCUGCAAAAUGGGCAUGUCCAACUCAGAAGCUGCCUUGAAGAAAGGGUCUACCCAGCAUGGUGCGUGGAGCCUAAGCAGUCAGUACUUCAGGACUUCACCCGGCCCCUUUCCAAUAACUGCUGCUGUCGCCCUCACAGGAUGUCACCUUCAGCGUCUGAAAGCUGGGUUUGAUGCGUCUGGAAAGGCGUCCCUGACAGGCGUCGUUGCCAGGAGCCCCUAGUGCCACCAGCAGCCAGCAGGGGAGGGCGUCCUCUGCCCGCUCACUUCUGACCCUUCUCUCGUUGCACCCGGAACAUGGUGCAGCUGGGAGCAGCCUGGGCUGCGCGGAAGGCUCAGAUUUGGGGACGGCCCUUGCCAGUGACUGUGAGCUGGGGUGUCUUGGAAACUCCCAGUCUCAGCUUCUCCAUUUAUAAGAUGAGAAUGAUCAUACCAGACUCAGGCAAGGUUGUUUGUGCAUUAGUGAAAUCAGACGUAUUAAAUAAAGUACCACAUUGAUCGUGGAGUUGUUGAAUAACCAAGAACACGCCUAUCUGUCUCCAAAAAAUAAAUGUUGAAAAUGAUGAGGGCGUGGCUCUACGUUGGGAAGGGAAAUAGGGUGCUUGGAUGAGAGAAUCCUGAGGCAUGGGACAGUGGAGGGAUCCAGGAUAGUUCCAUAAGAAAAUGUGCUUGCACUAUCGUUUCUUUGCAGAGGCUCUUGUGUGCUGGGAGGCUGGCUGGGAUGGGGAGUUGGUGGCAGAGAAUAGUGUCUGUUUUCUUCCUGGUAGCUGGAGAGCUCUGCGACAGAGGACUGAGGUCAUUAGGAACAAGCGGGCAGGUAGGGACAGGCGUUGGAGUGGACUAGCCCUGGUUCCCCUGAAGCUCUCUGGGGUGGAGGUGAAGGAGCUUCUAGGGCAAAGUUUGCCAGUUAAGGAGGAGACACUGUUUGGGCUGCUCCCCGAAAUGGAGAACUUUUGUGUGUGCCUGGAGUGUUUCUAUUUGAGAAAAACUAUUUGAGAGGUGGGAAGGUGAAUUAUUUACCAGUAAGUUUAUCCUUCUCUCCUCAGAUUCUGCAGAACUUGCAGACCCAUAAACAAAUUAGAAAUUGCUUUUCUCCUCUUGCUUAACCUAAAUUUCUUUGUGGAAGCUGAAGGAAAAUAUGAGUAAUUUUCUAACAUAUUCAGUUACAGAGACAGCAAAGAGAAAUAUUCAAGAAAAAAAAAAAACAAACCCUGAGGUGCUACUGACUUCGUGUAUGUCUUAGCUGUAGACAGAAUUGGGAUUUCCUAAUAUGGGUUUGUUCCAGUACAGCCCCUCAGAAAGAUUUUCAUCAGCAAAACACACAUUGGAGGACCAGCUGCUGUGCAGUUGUCUCUUUUAAACCAUUUUCUCACUUCAUUGCUAAUUUUCCCAGCACCUUUCUUCUAACAGUUCUACAUUUUUGAUCUGCAAACAACCUGAGAUUAUUUCUUUCCCUCUUGGUAAAUAAAAGAAAUUUAAAGUAGAUUCUAGAAUGGGUUAGACUGUUUUAUUCCAGAUCCCUCAAAAAGAAGGGAUAAAUACUUCUUUAAAAGAAUCCCUUUAAAAGAAGGGAUAAAGUUUAAGCCAUAAAUACAAUAAAUGGUGAACUGCCUGGUUAACUGAGGGCUGAUUCCCGGAGACGCAACCAGGGGGAGCUUCCUGAGCAAGGUAGCUACUCCCUGCCAAGGUAACCACAGCUUUCUAACAAUAAGUAAAAUGUUUCUACUCAUAUCAUAGGGACCCUACAACAACAUGGCCCUUUUCUCUCUGCCAUGCAAAAAAGCAUCAAGAAAGUAAGAAGGGGCAUUUUUGAGAACAAACUAGAAAUCUUAGCAUCAUGUCUUCUCUCUAAUUAUGUUGGAAACAGGCUUUGAAAAAGAAAAAAACUGAGGAGAAGAUCACUAAAUAGAAUUCAAUAAAAAUGGCUUUUGAUAUUCUGUAGCUUGAAAGCAUUUGUAUUGGGUUUAUGUUCUCAUGGUUUUUGUUUCAAAGAGUUUAAGGUAAAUUUGAAUGUCCCAUUCCUCUGAGAACUCAGAGAAAGCCAGGUUGAUUAAGAAGUAAUUAAGAGGCUGGG
RNAcentral lists this long non-coding RNA (3757 nucleotides) under Homo sapiens (human). Its description in RNAcentral is "HSALNT0263815". The record is from RNAcentral. Lineage: Eukaryota; Metazoa; Chordata; Mammalia; Primates; Hominidae.